GACGAACGCUGGCGGCGUGCUUAACACAUGCAAGUCGAACGGAAAGGCCCUGCUUGCCGGGUACUCGAGUGGCGAACGGGUGAGUAACACGUGGGUGAUCUGCCCUGCACUUCGGGAUAAGCCUGGGAAACUGGGUCUAAUACCGGAUAGGAGCCAUUUUUAGUGUGAUGGUUGGAAAGUUUUUUCGGUGUAGGAUGAGCUCGCGGCCUAUCAGCUUGUUGGUGGGGUAAUGGCCUACCAAGGCGGCGACGGGUAGCCGGCCUGAGAGGGUGGACGGCCACAUUGGGACUGAGAUACGGCCCAGACUCCUACGGGAGGCAGCAGUGGGGAAUAUUGCACAAUGGGCGCAAGCCUGAUGCAGCGACGCCGCGUGGGGGAUGACGGCCUUCGGGUUGUAAACUCCCUUCGCUAGGGACGAAGCUUUUGUGACGGUACCUAGAUAAGAAGCACCGGCUAACUACGUG
RNAcentral lists this ribosomal RNA (464 nucleotides) under uncultured bacterium. Its description in RNAcentral is "partial 16S ribosomal RNA". It matches the Rfam family "Bacterial small subunit ribosomal RNA", at positions 28 to 507 of the family's 1533-position model. The record is from RNAcentral.